GGAGAGAUGCCGGAGUGGUCGAACGGGCUCGCCUGGAAAGUGAGUGUGUCCUCAACGGGGCACCGAGGGUUCGAAUCCCUCUCUCUCCGCCA
Molecule: transfer RNA, 92 nt
Filed under: Gammaproteobacteria bacterium
Lineage: Bacteria; Pseudomonadati; Pseudomonadota; Gammaproteobacteria
Also listed under: 1 other name
Description: tRNA-Ser
Rfam family: tRNA
About the family: Transfer RNA (tRNA) molecules are approximately 80 nucleotides in length.
Source: RNAcentral